CAAUUGGUGGUUCUGUAGUAGAAUUCUCACCUCCCAUGUGGAAGACCUGGGUUUGAUUCCCAGCCAAUAGA
This 71-nucleotide transfer RNA is filed under the name Loxodonta africana (African savanna elephant). It matches the Rfam family "tRNA". Rfam says of the family: Transfer RNA (tRNA) molecules are approximately 80 nucleotides in length. Their secondary structure includes four short double-helical elements and three loops (D, anti-codon, and T loops). Further hydrogen bonds mediate the characteristic L-shaped molecular structure. tRNAs have two regions of fundamental functional importance: the anti-codon, which is responsible for specific mRNA codon recognition, and the 3' end, to which the tRNAs corresponding amino acid is attached (by aminoacyl-tRNA synthetases). tRNAs cope with the degeneracy of the genetic code in two manners: having more than one tRNA (with a specific anti-codon) for a particular amino acid; and 'wobble' base-pairing, i.e. permitting non-standard base-pairing at the 3rd anti-codon position. The record is from Rfam by way of RNAcentral. Lineage: Eukaryota; Metazoa; Chordata; Mammalia; Proboscidea; Elephantidae.